UACGUAGGGUCCGAGCGUUGUCCGGAUUUAUUGGGCGUAAAGAGCUCGUAGGCGGCUCGGUAAGUCGGAUGUGAAAACUCGGGGCUCAACCCCGAGACGCCAUCCGAUACUGCUGUGGCUUGAGUCUGGUAGGGGAGAACGGAAUUCCUGGUGUAGCGGUGAAAUGCGCAGAUAUCAGGAGGAACACCGGUGGCGAAGGCGGUUCUCUGGGCCAGUACUGACGCUGAGGAGCGAAAGCGUGGGUAGCAAACAGG
Molecule: ribosomal RNA, 254 nt
Filed under: uncultured bacterium
Lineage: Bacteria
Description: partial 16S ribosomal RNA
Rfam family: Bacterial small subunit ribosomal RNA
Source: RNAcentral